CGGCCCAGUAAGUCCUCCGUUAAAUCCAACGGCUCAACCGUUGGGCUGCGGGGGAUACUGCUGGGCUAGGGGACGGGAGAGGCGAGGGGUAUUCCCGGGGUAGGGGUAAAAUCCACUGAUCCAUUGAAGACCACCAGUGGCGAAGGCGGUUUGCCAGAACGCGCUCGACGGUGAGGGAUGAAAGCUGGGGGAGCGAACCGGAUUAGAUACCCGGGUAGUCCCAGCCGUAAACGAUGUAGGCUCGGUGUUGGGCUGCCUCAGUGGCAGCCCAGUGCCGCAGGGAAGCCGUUAAGCCUACCGCCUGGGGA
This 308-nucleotide ribosomal RNA is filed under the name uncultured archaeon. RNAcentral describes it as "bacterial SSU rRNA". It matches the Rfam family "Archaeal small subunit ribosomal RNA", at positions 526 to 834 of the family's 1478-position model. The record is from RNAcentral.